Molecule: ribosomal RNA, 468 nt
Filed under: uncultured bacterium
Lineage: Bacteria
Description: partial 16S ribosomal RNA
Rfam family: Bacterial small subunit ribosomal RNA
Source: RNAcentral
GACGAACGCUGGCGGCGUGCUUAACACAUGCAAGUCGAACGGAAAGGCCCUGCUUUUGUGGGGUGCUCGUGUGGCGAACGGGUGAGUAACACGUGAGUAACCUGCCCUUGACUUUGGGAUAACUUCAGGAAACUGGGGCUAAUACCGGAUAGGAGCUCCUGAUGCAUGGUGGGGGUUGGAAAGUUUCGGCGGUUGGGGAUGGACUCGCGGCUUAUCAGCUUGUUGGUGGGGUAGUGGCUUACCAAGGCUUUGACGGGUAGCCGGCCUGAGAGGGUGACCGGCCACAUUGGGACUGAGGUACGGCCCAGACUCCUACGGGAGGCAGCAGUGGGGAAUAUGGCACAAUGGGCGGAAGCCUGAUGCAGCAACGCCGCGUGCGGGAUGACGUCCUUCGGGUUGUAAACCGCUUUCGCCUGUGACGAAGCGUGAGUGACGGUAAUGGGUAAAGAAGCACCGGCUAACUACGUG